GACGAACGCUGGCGGCGUGCUUAACACAUGCAAGUCGAACGGAAAGGCCCUGCUUGCAGGGUACUCGAGUGGCGAACGGGUGAGUAACACGUGGGUGAUCUGCCCUGCACUUCGGGAUAAGCCUGGGAAACUGUGUCUAAUAUCCGGUAUGGGCCAUUCUUAGUGUGAUGGUUGGAUAGUUUUUUCGGUCUGGGAUGAGCUCGCGGCCUAUCAGGUUGGUGGUGGGGUAAUGGCCUACCAACGCGGCCGAGGGUGGCCGGCCUGGGGGGGUGGACGGCCAAAAUGGGGCUUGGGGACGGCCCAAGAUCCCAAGGGGGGGAAGCAGGGGGAAAAAUGGACAAAGGGGGGGAGGCUGGUGCAGGGACGGCGCGGGGGGGAUGACGGCCUUCGGGGUGUAAACUCGUUUCGCUAGGGAAGAAGCUUUUUGUGACGGUACCUAGAUAAGAAGCACCGGCUAACUACGUG
RNAcentral lists this ribosomal RNA (465 nucleotides) under uncultured bacterium. RNAcentral's name for it is "partial 16S ribosomal RNA". It matches the Rfam family "Bacterial small subunit ribosomal RNA", at positions 28 to 507 of the family's 1533-position model. The record is from RNAcentral.